This 187-nucleotide non-coding RNA is filed under the name Clostridia bacterium. Its description in RNAcentral is "6S RNA". It matches the Rfam family "6S / SsrS RNA". From Rfam's summary of the family: E. coli 6S RNA was the first non coding RNA to be sequenced, but its function was unknown until recently. The record is from RNAcentral. Lineage: Bacteria; Bacillati; Bacillota; Clostridia.
UAAUUCCUGCGGUGUUCGAUAAAUGCGGAUAAUAUUAACCCUAUGUCAAUUUAAAGGGAGUUCGGGCUUCUGUGACGGAUUGCAGACCUCCCGCUUUUGCGGACGAAGGGAGCGUGAACUCAUGGAGAGAACACCCACCUGCCUAAAAGCAGGUUUUUAUUACCGCAUCCGGCAUUGUGGGAAUUAA